This 1242-nucleotide unclassified non-coding RNA is filed under the name Hevea brasiliensis (rubber tree). The record is from RNAcentral. Lineage: Eukaryota; Viridiplantae; Streptophyta; Magnoliopsida; Malpighiales; Euphorbiaceae.
UAUAACUGUCAUCAGCUACUCUCCUUCAAUUACAAUAGCCUUUCCCUCUUUUUUAUUCCUAAACUUCUUCCGAUAAUAUGUAACAAUACCUCUCCCAUUACCACAUUCUUGUCCCCAAGAAUGUAAAAAUUCAGGGAAUUGAGCUAAAAGAGAAGCUUGAUCUUCCCAAGUAGCAUCUUCAGCAGGUAGAUUAGCCCAUUUAAUGAGGCCUUGAAGCACAUGCUGCUGGUCUCUUAUAAUAACUCUUGUCUGUAAAACCUUCUCAAGAGCAACAAUAACUCUUUCCUCUAUCAUUGUUGAUAAUUCCGUCAGAGGAGUUACUUUAUCUCCUAGUUUCCUCUUUAAAAGAGAAACAUGGAAGACAGGGUGUAUAGAGGAACUAGGUGGCAACUGCAAUCUGUAGGCCACUGAGCCAACCCUUUCCAACACUAGAUAUGGACCAUAAUACUUGGCAGCAAGCUUCAAUAAAAUCCCAAGGGCAAUAGAAGAUUGCCUGUAAGGUUGAAGUUUCAAAUAGACACAAUUUCCCACAGCAAACUCCCUUUCACUUCUCUUUUUAUCGGCUUGAUGCUUCAUUCUCUGUUGUGCAAAUGAUAAAUUUUCCUUAAGAAUAGAAUUCAUAUGUUGCCGCUGUUCCAAAUAUUCAGCUACAGCCCCAACAGCAGGCAACUCUGUUGGAAUUACUGGCAGAAAUGGAGAAGAAUACCCAUAAAGAGCUUCAAAAGGGGACAUCUUAAUUGCACUGUGAUGAGAAGAGUUGUACCACCAUUCUGCUAACGAAAGCCAUUUACUCCAAGAAGAAGGUUGCAAGUGACACAUGCAUCUCAAAUAGGCCUCCAAGCACUGAUUUAAUCUUUCAGACUGCCCAUCAGUUUGAGGGUGAUAUGCUGUGCUAAAAGCAAGUGUAACCCCCAAACAUUUAAAGAGAUCCUUCCAAAAGAGACUAGUGAAAAUCUUGUCUCUAUCUGAAAUAAUAGAUUGAGGAAUGCCGUGAAGUUUAAACACAGAAUCCAUAAAAAUUUUGGCUACUGAAGAAGCUGUAAAUGGAUGUGUUAAGGGAAGGAAAUGGGCAUAUUUUGUCAAUCUGCAAAUAACUACUAGAAUAGUAUCUUUCCCAUUUGAUUUUGGCAAAUGCUCUAUGAAAUCCAUAGAAAUUUGUUGCCAAGGUUGAGUAGGAAUCUCCAAUGGUUGCAAUAAACCAGGGGAAGCACAAUGCUUAGAUUUGCACCUAGCACAAGUAUC